This 505-nucleotide ribosomal RNA is filed under the name uncultured bacterium. RNAcentral describes it as "partial 16S ribosomal RNA". It matches the Rfam family "Bacterial small subunit ribosomal RNA", at positions 28 to 507 of the family's 1533-position model. The record is from RNAcentral.
GACGAACGCUGGCGGCGUGCCUAAUACAUGCAAGUAGAACGCACAGUUUAUACCGUAGCUUGCUACACCAUAGACUGUGAGUUGCGAACGGGUGAGUAACGCGUAGGUAACCUGCCUGGUAGCGGGGGAUAACUAUUGGAAACGAUAGCUAAUACCGCAUAAUAUUAAUUAUUGCAUGAUAAUUAAUUGAAAGGUGCAAUUGCACCACUACCAGAUGGACCUGCGUUGUAUUAGCUAGUAGGUGAGGUAACGGCUCACCUAGGCGACGAUACAUAGCCGACCUGAGAGGGUGAUCGGCCACACUGGGACUGAGACACGGCCCAGACUCCUACGGGAGGCAGCAGUAGGGAAUCUUCGGCAAUGGACGAAAGUCUGACCGAGCAACGCCGCGUGAGUGAAGAAGGUUUUCGGAUCGUAAAGCUCUGUUGUAAGAGAAGAACGGGUGUGAGAGUGGAAAGUUCACACUGUGACGGUAUCUUGCCAGAAAGGGACGGCUAACUACGUG